RNAcentral lists this ribosomal RNA (428 nucleotides) under uncultured archaeon. Its description in RNAcentral is "bacterial SSU rRNA". It matches the Rfam family "Archaeal small subunit ribosomal RNA", at positions 474 to 903 of the family's 1478-position model. The record is from RNAcentral.
UACCUGCAGCUCGAGUGGUAACCGCUAUUAUUGGGCCUAAAGCGUCCGUAGCCGGUUUGGUAAAUAUCUGGGUAAAUCGUGAGGCUUAACUUCACGAACUUCGGAUAGACUGCCAGACUUGGGAUCGGGGGAGGUCAGAGGUACUCCAGGGGUAGCGGUGAAAUGUUGUAAUCCUUGGAGGACCACCGGUAGCGAAGGCGUCUGACUAGAACGAGUCCGACGGUGAGGGACGAAGCCCUGGGGCGCAAACCGGAUUAGAUACCCGGGUAGUCCAGAGUGUAAACUAUGUGGGCUUUGUGUUGGAGGUCCCACGUGGGCGUCCAGUGCAGAAGAGAAGUUGUUAAGCCCACCGCCUGGGAAGUACGGUCGCAAGGCUGAAACUUAAAGGAAUUGGCGGGGAGCACAGCAACGGGAGGAGCGUGCGGUUU